UACAGAGGUCUCAAGCGUUGUUCGGAUUCACUGGGCGUAAAGGGUGCGUAGGAGGUGGCGCAAGUCGAAUGUGAAAUCCCGCAGCUCAACUGCGGAACUGCAUUCGAUACUGCGUCACUCGAGGGCCGGAAAGGUCACUGGAAUUCUCGGUGUAGCAGUGAAAUGCGUAGAUAUCGAGAGGAACACCAAUGGCGAAGGCAAGUGACUGGAAGGUUCCUGACUCUGAGGCACGAAAGCUAGGGGAGCAAACAGG
This 253-nucleotide ribosomal RNA is filed under the name uncultured bacterium. RNAcentral describes it as "partial 16S ribosomal RNA". It matches the Rfam family "Bacterial small subunit ribosomal RNA", at positions 524 to 776 of the family's 1533-position model. The record is from RNAcentral.